This is a non-coding RNA of Bos taurus (domestic cattle), 47 nucleotides long. The record is from Rfam. Lineage: Eukaryota; Metazoa; Chordata; Mammalia; Artiodactyla; Bovidae.
CCAGAGGCCCUUUUAAGGGUCACUUCACUAACACAAUCUAUAAAUAG